GAUGAACGCUGGCGGCGUGCCUAAUACAUGCAAGUCGAGCGAACAGACGAGGAGCUUGCUCCUCUGACGUUAGCGGCGGACGGGUGAGUAACACGUGGAUAACCUACCUAUAAGACUGGGAUAACUUCGGGAAACCGGAGCUAAUACCGGAUCAUAUAUUGAACCACAUGGUUCAAUAGUGAAAGACGGUUUUGCUGUCACUUAUAGAUGGAUCCGCGCCGCAUUAGCUAGUUGGUAAGGUAACGGCUUACCAAGGCAACGAUGCGUAGCCGACCUGAGAGGGUGAUCGGCCACACUGGAACUGAGACACGGUCCAGACUCCGACGAGAGGCAGCAGUAGGGAAUCUUCCGCGAUGGGCGAAAGCCUGACGGAGCAACGCCGCGUGAGUGAUGAAGGUCUUCGGAUCGUAAAACUCUGUUAUUAGGGAAGAACAAAUGUGUAAGUAACUAUGCACGUCUUGACGGUACCUAAUCAGAAAGCCACGGCUAACUACGUG
This 497-nucleotide ribosomal RNA is filed under the name uncultured bacterium. Its description in RNAcentral is "partial 16S ribosomal RNA". It matches the Rfam family "Bacterial small subunit ribosomal RNA", at positions 28 to 507 of the family's 1533-position model. The record is from RNAcentral.